UUCUCUCUCUAUAUUCCGGCGAUUCAAAUUCAAAUUUUACAAACCCUGCAAACCUUAAUCUUCUUGCAGACGCCACUAUAAAAUCUUCUUUUGUUCAUCGAUUACUUCAUCAAAAGGGUUGUUGUCAUCGAUUGUCAUCAAAGUUUAAAUCAGCUUAGCUGCGGAUAGAUUUCUGCCAUAAGCUGUGGAUUCAACAUCAGGUGUUUGCUAUUUUUGUUUGAUGUUUUGAAGGGGUCAUUUGAGUGAAAUCAAUGUUGAUUUAUCAGAAGAUGCAGUUGAAGAUAUCUUAAUUAAGGUAAUAAUUGUAUUACAUCCUGUUGAAAAAUAGAAUUGAUAAAUUUAGGGAAAGUGAGGUU
RNAcentral lists this long non-coding RNA (356 nucleotides) under Helianthus annuus (common sunflower). RNAcentral's name for it is "sRNA HanXRQr2_Chr17g0779741". The record is from RNAcentral. Lineage: Eukaryota; Viridiplantae; Streptophyta; Magnoliopsida; Asterales; Asteraceae.